Molecule: ribosomal RNA, 253 nt
Filed under: uncultured bacterium
Lineage: Bacteria
Description: partial 16S ribosomal RNA
Rfam family: Bacterial small subunit ribosomal RNA
Source: RNAcentral
UACAGGGGAUGCAAGUUUUAUUCGGAAUUAUUGGGCGUAAAGCGUCUGCAGGUUGAUAUAAAAGUCUUUUGUUAAAUAUCAGAGCUCAACUCGGAAUCUGCAAAAGAAACUAUAUAUCUAGAGUAUGGUAGAGGUAGGGGGAAUUUCCAGUGGAGCGGUGAAAUGCGUAGAUAUUGGAAAGAACACCGAUAGCGAAGGCGCCCUACUGGGCCAUUACUGACACUCAGAGACGAAAGCUAGGGGAGCAAACGGG